Molecule: long non-coding RNA, 365 nt
Filed under: Glycine max (soybean)
Lineage: Eukaryota; Viridiplantae; Streptophyta; Magnoliopsida; Fabales; Fabaceae
Description: long non-coding RNA (GMAX_LNC000219)
Source: RNAcentral
GGGGAGACAUCAAUACCACGAAAACCAUAAAUUCAAAGGAGAAGAACAAAUAGUGAAACGCAGAGCAAUGAUUAAGUAGCAUAAUUAAGAGAGGGAUGAGCGAAAUGCAGUAUAAUAAAAAGAAAAGAGAAGAAGAAUGGAAGUGCAUGCCUAGGUUGGUUGCAAGUGCUGAGUAGUAUGACAGAGAUAUUUCAAAUUUCUAAAGCUUUUCUUCUUCCCCAUUCCCAUUGUCAGUGACACAAACGCAUGAACAAUAGAAAGACACGAUGUGGAGCACAUUGCAUAAUCACGCAGCAUAGCCAUAAUGGAUGAGCAUGAGUGAGUCAGAAUCAGAACAAAACCUAUGACUCGUCUCUGCUUUCGCC